RNAcentral lists this transfer RNA (65 nucleotides) under Perkinsus marinus ATCC 50983. It matches the Rfam family "tRNA", at positions 1 to 63 of the family's 71-position model. From Rfam's summary of the family: Transfer RNA (tRNA) molecules are approximately 80 nucleotides in length. Their secondary structure includes four short double-helical elements and three loops (D, anti-codon, and T loops). The record is from Rfam by way of RNAcentral. Lineage: Eukaryota; Perkinsozoa; Perkinsida; Perkinsidae.
GGUCGUUUAGCUCAGUCGUUAGAGCAUCGUGCUAAUAACGCGAGGGUCGCAGGUUCGAGCCCUGC